GGGGGAUAUUGCGCAAUGGGGGCAACCCUGACGCAGCAACGCCGCGUGAAGGAUGAAGGUUUUCGGAUUGUAAACUUCUUUUAUUAAGGACGAAAAAUGACGGUACUUAAUGAAUAAGCUCCGGCUAACUACGUGCCAGCAGCCGCGGUAAUACGUAGGGAGCAAGCGUUGUCCGGAUUUACUGGGUGUAAAGGGUGCGUAGGCGGCUUUGCAAGUCAGAUGUGAAAUCUAUGGGCUCAACCCAUAAACUGCAUUUGAAACUGUAGAGCUUGAGUGAAGUAGAGGCAGGCGGAAUUCCCCGUGUAGCGGUGAAAUGCGUAGAGAUGGGGAGGAACACCAGUGGCGAAGGCGGCCUGCUGGGCUUUAACUGACGCUGAGGCACGAAAGCGUGGGUAGCAAACAGGAUUAGAUACCCUGGUAGUCCACGCUGUAAACGAUGAUUACUAGGUGUGGGGGGUCUGACCCCUUCCGUGCCGGAGUUAACACAAUAAGUAAUCCACCUGGGGAGUACGGCCGCAAGGUUGAAACUCAAAGGAAUUGACGGGGGCCCGCACAAGCAGUGGAGUAUGUGGUUUAAUUCGAAGCAACGCGAAGAACCUUACCAGGUCUUGACAUCCAACUAACGAAGUAGAGAUACAUUAGGUGCCCUUCGGGGAAAGUUGAGACAGGUGGUGCAUGGUUGUCGUCAGCUCGUGUCGUGAGAUGUUGGGUUAAGUCCCGCAACGAGCGCAACCCUUGCUAUUAGUUGCUACGCAAGAGCACUCUAAUAGGACUGCCGUUGACAAAACGGAGGAAGGUGGGGACGACGUCAAAUCAUCAUGCCCCUUAUGACCUGGGCUACACACGUACUACAAUGGAUGUUAACAGAGGGAAGCAAGACAGCGAUGUGGAGCAAACCCCUAAAAACAUUCUCAGUUCAGAUUGCAGGCUGCAACCCGCCUGCAUGAAGCUGGAAUCGCUAGUAAUCGCGAAUCAGAAUGUCGCGGUGAAUACGUUCCCG
Molecule: ribosomal RNA, 1000 nt
Filed under: uncultured organism
Description: bacterial SSU rRNA
Rfam family: Bacterial small subunit ribosomal RNA
Source: RNAcentral